RNAcentral lists this long non-coding RNA (5450 nucleotides) under Gallus gallus (chicken). RNAcentral's name for it is "lncRNA (ENSGALG00010027656.1)". The record is from RNAcentral. Lineage: Eukaryota; Metazoa; Chordata; Aves; Galliformes; Phasianidae.
CUCCUCUUGUAAAAGCACCCAGCAUUGCUGCUCCCACCAACACCUUCACGUUACACCUACUCCAAAAUCCAUAAAAUGAACAUGUAAGACUGAAGGGUGAGAAAAUUCUUCCCUUUCAGUUCAACACUUGCUAAAGCUUUGUUACUCACCACCACUACAAUCCUCCAACUUCACCCACUCAGCCUCCUAAUCCAUGCCCAAGGGGAGCUUGGGGAAAGAAUAAAUCUAAGCAGCAUCCCACAAAGUUGACCAUCUCCUCCCUUCCUGAGCAGCUCCAGCCAGAGGCCCCUCAGCAAGCACAAGCCUACCCACCUGGGCUAAUUAUCUGUCUCAGUACAUCUGGCAGCCUAUGACUAUCUCCUCUGCUCCCUGCCUGGCUCUGGUAGAGCAGCAGGAGUAGAGGCAAAUCCCAUAUCCUGGGCUCUUCCUGAACAGAAAACGCUCCAGAAAGGGAAGACCGGCAGAAAGAUAUGUUUCCCUUGAAGAACACCAAGUUGUAACUGCAGCUUAUGAAGCACCUUUCCACCUUCUGCCAUUUUGGAAAACCUUUUCCCUUGCAUCAUCUUCAGCCCACGUGAGUGCGAUAUGAGAGAUGAGACGGUUCAACAUACAGCAUUAAAAGAAGUCAACCACAAGUAAUGUUGUUGAUGACUCAUCUCUGGUUCCUCAUUAGCCCAAUUAUGAUAUGUGAUUUUCCUCAAUAUUGUCCACCUGUCCUCUCCCUGCCCACCCAUACAACUAGAACUCAAAUGCUUAUAAUGAUCAAUCUUAAUAUUAUGAAUCCUAACAUAAAUCUAUAAACUAUAAUAGCUCAGAAAUUACAUAUAUAGGUGUCUUUUUGAGCCUAACUCAUAGUGAUAAGACUUUGAAGGAAAGAAGCAACCAAAUACCUUGAUUCUGGUAGAAAAAUCACAGGGAAUGGUACAUUCUACAUGCACGAACACAUGACUUAUUCUAUCAGUCUCAAAGAAAUACUGUCACAGGCUGCUCCCAAGUGUAAGUGUUAUACAAAAGGCUGGAUUCACUCUCCCUUUUCCAUAGAUUUAGCAAAUGUGAUUGCAGAUAUUCAACACAUUUUUGUAGUACAUUUGCCUACAGAUUGCAUGUACAGUAAGUGGCACAUCUUGGUGAUGUCGAAGAACUCCAGAUAUUGAUCAGAAUUACCUGUCCUCUGCUGCAGGACAAGGAUCAGCAUCAUCUGAAGAAAAAACAUUAAGAAAAGGUCCUCAGAUAUGAUGCAGCAUCCCUGCUGGUGUCUGUGCUCAAAACUCACUUUCUGCCCUAGGGUUAUUGUGUCACAAUUCCAAGACAGGUAUGACAUCCCAAAAAUCCCUUGUUCAGGUUUUGUGAGAAGAAAUGGAAUUACACCCGUAAGUUUAAUAUUUUCUCCUUGUAUAUUUUUCAUUAUUACAUUUGUAUGUUUCUUUUCCUUUUCCUUUCUUUUCCUUUCCUUUCUUUUCUUUUCUCUUUUCUUUUCUUUUCUGUUUUCUUUUCUUUGCUUUUCUUCUCUUUCCUUUUUCCUUUUUCCUUUUUCCUUUUUCCUUUUUCCUUUUUCCUUUCUUUUCCCUAUUCCUGUUUCCUUUCUCCCAUUAUUUUUACUUACUACAUUUGGAAAUUAUUUUAUUUGUUACCCUGUUAAUCCUUUUUCAUCAAUUCAUUCCUACAUCGCACCAUUUUUCUCCUUGAAAAAGCUUUGUAAUUUAAAAACACACAGACACAUGAGUUUUGUGCAGUGCAAGGCAAUGGCAGACUUCUCCUUGAUUGCUUGCCUGAAUGGUGUCAGUAAAGAAAAAACAGAUGUCAGAGGCACAGCUCUUAAAGGCCAAACAGGCUAAAUUAAAGGAAAAUGAAAAGAUGUUGAGGCAAAUUCACUCAUUCUUCAAACAAACUCAUAUUCUCUAUCUAAGUUAAAAAAAAAAAAAAAAAAAAAGUCAUUCCUCCAACAGAAAUACUCAGGAGUGUUUAUGGUCUGCCAGAUGAUUGGAGUGUAAUAAAUGUAAUUUUGCAAGCUUGUAAAAUAUCUUGACAUUGCCUUAAAGAAACCACAAUAAACAAUCUGUUUGGAUUGCUUUAUUUCCAUUUCUAUACCUUAUUAAGCUGGUUUGUAGAAGAUGUAACAGGAAAAAAAAAAAAAAACAACUAGAAAUGUACUGAUUACACCAUUAGAAAUAAGUGAAAAUAGCUUAAAAAUAAAUUCUGUCAUAUGCAACAGUCCAUUAAAACAGUGCAUACUUCUUUAAGCUUUGCUACAAGCCAGAUUCUUAUCUCAAAUGUGGGCAGAGUGCCCACGGACUUCAAUAGGAGCCGCGCAUACAUAUUCUGAAGCAGCAUUUGGUCUGGUGCGUUCAUUAAGGGCUUCUGAACUUAAGAUGUUACUUUGACGUUCCAGAAAAGACCCGUAGUACAGAUAAGCUCCUGUUGAUUUUCGGUGAAGCUACCUCUGCUGCUGUUUGGGGCAAGUCCCAACACCGAGCCUGCUAGUGUUCCCCUCAAGCAUGACAUGCACCUACAGAAUAAUGAAGACAUUGAACUUUUUGAUUGACAGAGCCUCAUAGAAAUGAUGCACAGAAAAGAACAAUUAUUGCAACACAGUGGCAAACCCCAUCUUGAAUUGAAAUUCCCUUUUCAUCUGCAGGCUGAGGAGCAUGCCAGGAUUACAAACAAUUUAGUAAAUGGCUAUUGCAGGUACACAAACAUGCACAGUGUUCUAGGAAGUUAAGUGCUUCAGACUCAAGAGCCCCAGCAAUGCAAGCUCCUGGCAGCUCUGGGUUGUUCAGAGGCCGUGGCUGGAACUGCAGCAGCAGUUGUGCCCUUCUCCCACCUCCACCCAGCUAAGGAUGGGCUUUGUCACAGAGCAGAUCACCAUCCUGACAGCCAAGGCCUCUCCAGCUCCAGGCCAACCCACAGCUUUCUUAUGGCUCAUGGAAAAACUGAACUUCAUGGCUUGUUACCCAUGUAGACUCCCCAUCAGUGCCCUCUCCUCUUCACCCUUCAAGCUAGCCUUGAAUGACCCUCCUGUGAUGGGAAGGACCUCAUCCCUAGAGACCAUUUCCAUAGAAAUCAAAAUACUGCCAAAAUUCAGGAACAAAUAAAAAGGAUUGAGUCAUUUUCCACGUUUGUCAACUUUGGCACAAAUUGUAUUAUUCCAAUCAGCACUGCUCUUGUUUUCUGAAAAAGAGGUUUUUUUCUAAGUGUAGGUACUGAAUCUGUUCCCAUGCCCUAAUUUGUACAAGCUUUGCAUUGCCUCUCUCCUGGUUUUAUCUGAGUUACUGCGUCACCUCUCUCUUCCUCUUCCCAUCUAGGUAACGGAGUAUUCUAUACUUAGGUUUUCUACUCAGAUCAUGAACCUUGAACUCAAGCACAGUCCUAGCUCCACACAGGGCUCCCCUGCUGGGGACAGGCCACAGUGCUUAUGAGAAAGUGAAGUCCACGGUUCACACCCUGGCACAUGAGGUUAAUCUGAAUUCAGUGGUUCAUGAUAUUUGACCUAGGAAAGAAGAUCCUGAAAGUCACAGAAUCAUUAAGGUUGGAGAACACCACUGAGAUCAUCUAGUUGAACCAUCAACCCAUCACCAUCAUACCAUUAAACCAUGCCACUCAGUGUGACACCUACCCUUUUCUUGAAAAUCUCCAGGAAAAGCUGAUAUAUGGGCAUUUUUGCUGACAUUCUUCCAACAAUGAUGACCUCCAUAAGAAUUUCUAGGCACCUCCUGAUGUAAAUCGCCUGAGUUGACUGUUAGAAGACACGCCAGAUCUGGAAGUACAUUUAAAAGGAAGUACUCAGUAGUAGAUUGCUUAGAAGAAUGAACAGGUGGCAUCUACCCAUCCAUCCUCCUCUGCUCACUGUCUAUAACGACACUGCAAGACAAAGGACUGUGGAUUCCCAUCCCUGGAGGUAUUCAAGGUCAGGUUGGAUUCAGCCUUGGGCAGCCUGAUCUAGUGGUUGGCAACCCUGCCUAUGGCAGGGGAUUGGAACUGGAUUUAAGGUCCCUUCCAACCCAAGCCAUUCUAUGAUUCUGUAAUUCUACAACUACUCACACAGACUUAGAGCCCACUCCAGUCACAGCUCUAUAGGUGAAUCUUCACAGCCCUCCAAGUUAAAAGAGCCAACACUCAUUGCAGCUACGGUGCGCCCUGUCUCGGUAUGAUUAUGCAUCUAUCUAGGAAUUUGUUUCAUCCCUGUGCCAGACAUCCAACAACUGCAGAGAGCAACACUGCUUAACUGAAUGUUUCCAAUGUUAGGCGCUGAAAGACAUGAUAAAAUAAAAAUGAUCUCUUUCAUUUCCCAUAGCACCUUCUCUUAGAGGGUCUGACAUGAGAAGAAUACCCUUUCUUAUGCUACUGGGCUUUGUAAUCCCAGAGAUCAACCUUCACAUAAAUGGGGAAAAGGAGGUAGACGGCACUCAUGGGAUUUCACUAAGACUAAACAAAAAGUUUACAACGGAGGCAGAAGGGAGACACAGUGCUGCAAACUUCUCUUCCACCCUUUAGACCUAGUACUACUUUUAUUUAUGAUCCUACAAUGCACAGGUCCUGCUACUCCUUCGCUGGAGAAAGGACAAAAUUACUAAGGUUUUUACACCACAUCUAAGGUGGAUACGACAAAACCUGACAUCAGACGAAUGCUUUAGUUCCAGUUUGACAACAGAUUCAUUAGAACGGUCCCAAAGAUUUGCAUCGUAAACAAAGCAAUAAACAACAAUGAAAGCUUGCAGCCUACUAAGGCUAUUCUGGGAGCCAGGACCUCAGCAGUAUCUCAGAAGGUCACAUCAGAAGGGCACACCAGCUGCUAUCAGGAGGUCUUGUGGCUACUUGGCUCUGGUUGGUGUCAAAUCCAUCCCCCGGUGCACGCCACAAAGCAGCCUGUGACUGACUCCUGUGAGUGACUCCGUGUAUUUCCAGCUCCCAUUUACUUAAUUUAGCUGCUGGCUGACGCCACACCUUCUUUCCCCAGCCACAUUCAUUACUCCAGGCCUUGAGGGAGAGCAGGGGUGCAUAUGCUGUUGCAGUCUUUUAUUUCUGGCAUGUGCCUGGAGUGCUGAGCUGGCCAAGGCACAUGGGAGAUCCCUCCCACCCCAGGGCAAAGGCUAUUUCAACCAUCCCUGGGAAGGGCCAGGAAAGGAAGCCUGCCAUGCAGACCUGGCAGCCAUCUCCAUUCCAGCUUCCAAAACCAGAGCAUGGAAGAAUUCACCUCUUAUCAGCAGCCCUGUUCCUCCUUGCAGCUCGCCCUGCAGCUUUCCAGGCUGCCUGCUGGAGUGAGAAGGGUGCAGCUCCUGGCACAGGGCUCAGAAAGGUGCGUUCACCCAGGUGCACCCAACCUGGAAGGCUGUGAUAGCAAUCACAGCCAGGCCUGCUGGUUCUGCCCCAAAUUGUUUCCAAGUGUAUUAAAACUAGGACUUGAAACAGCAAUGCCAGGCUUUGGCUUCGGCCAGUCCUUACCUGUCACCUGC